RNAcentral lists this ribosomal RNA (468 nucleotides) under uncultured bacterium. RNAcentral describes it as "partial 16S ribosomal RNA". It matches the Rfam family "Bacterial small subunit ribosomal RNA", at positions 28 to 507 of the family's 1533-position model. The record is from RNAcentral.
GACGAACGCUGGCGGCGUGCUUAACACAUGCAAGUCGAACGGAAAGGCCCUGCUUUUGUGGGGUGCUCGAGUGGCGAACGGGUGAGUAACACGUGAGUAACCUGCCCUUGUCUUUGGGAUAACUUCAGGAAACUGGGGCUAAUACCGGAUAGGAGCUCCUGCUGCAUGGUGGGGGUUGGAAAGUUUCGGCGGUUGGGGAUGGACUCGCGGCUUAUCAGCUUGUUGGUGGGGUAGUGGCUUACCAAGGCUUUGACGGGUAGCCGGCCUGAGAGGGUGACCGGCCACAUUGGGACUGAGAUACGGCCCAGACUCCUACGGGAGGCAGCAGUGGGGAAUAUUGCACAAUGGGCGGAAGCCUGAUGCAGCAGCGCCGCGUGCGGGAUGACGUCCUUCGGGUGGUAAACCGCUUUCGACUGUGACGAAGCGUGAGUGACGGUAAUGGGUAAAGAAGCACCGGCUAACUACGUG